RNAcentral lists this ribosomal RNA (460 nucleotides) under uncultured bacterium. Its description in RNAcentral is "partial 16S ribosomal RNA". It matches the Rfam family "Bacterial small subunit ribosomal RNA", at positions 338 to 795 of the family's 1533-position model. The record is from RNAcentral.
CCUACGGGAGGCUGCAGUGAGGAAUAUUGGUCAAUGGGCGCGAGCCUGAACCAGCCAAGUAGCGUGAAGGAUGACUGCCCUACGGGUUGUAAACUUCUUUUAUAAAGGAAUAAAGUGAGGCACGUGUGCCUUUUUGUAUGUACUUUAUGAAUAAGGAUCGGCUAACUCCGUGCCAGCAGCCGCGGUAAUACGGAGGAUCCGAGCGUUAUCCGGAUUUAUUGGGUUUAAAGGGAGCGUAGAUGGGUUGUUAAGUCAGUUGUGAAAGUUUGCGGCUCAACCAUAGAAUUGCCGUUGAAACUGGGGGGCUUGAGUAUGUUUGAGGCAGGCGGAAUGCGUGGUGUAGCGGUGAAAUGCUUAGAUAUCACGAAGAACUCCGAUUGCGAAGGCAGCUUACUAAACUGCCACUGACAUUGAUGCUCGAAAGUGUGGGUAUCAAACAGGAUUAGAUACCCGAGUAGUC